UGGGGAAUUUUGCGCAAUGGGGGAAACCCUGACGCAGCAACGCCGCGUGCGGGAUGAAGGCCUUCGGGUUGUAAACCGCUUUCAGCAGGGACGAUUGUGACGGUACCUGCAGAAGAAGCUCCGGCUAACUACGUGCCAGCAGCCGCGGUAAUACGUAGGGAGCGAGCGUUAUCCGGAUUCAUUGGGCGUAAAGCGCGCGUAGGCGGCUGCCUAAGCGGAACCUCUAAUCCUGGGGCUCAACCUCAGGCCGGGUUCCGAACUGGGCGGCUCGAGUGCGGUAGGGGCAGGUGGAAUUCCCGGUGUAGCGGUGGAAUGCGCAGAUAUCGGGAGGAACACCGAUGGCGAAGGCAGCCUGCUGGGCCGCCACUGACGCUGAGGCGCGAAAGCUGGGGGAGCGAACAGG
RNAcentral lists this ribosomal RNA (403 nucleotides) under uncultured prokaryote. Its description in RNAcentral is "bacterial SSU rRNA". It matches the Rfam family "Bacterial small subunit ribosomal RNA", at positions 355 to 776 of the family's 1533-position model. RNAcentral also lists the same sequence under 2 other names. The record is from RNAcentral.